AACGCACGAGACCUGCGGACCUGCGGAAGGAUCAUUAACGAGUGGCUUGAGUCUGUUUUUUUUUUCUCGGAGAGCUGGGUUCGGCAGCGAUGCCGGAUCUGGUGGUCCGUGCAGACGAGUUACCCGACCUCAUGUCAUUUUGAUUUUACACGUAACUUCGGCGGAAGCGGUGGGACUUUCCGACUCUUUUGUUCUUCGAAAGGAGAGAGAGAGAGAGAGAUAGAAAGGACCUGCCCGCCG
RNAcentral lists this unclassified non-coding RNA (240 nucleotides) under soil metagenome. RNAcentral describes it as "partial contains 5.8S ribosomal RNA, internal transcribed spacer 2, and large subunit ribosomal RNA". The record is from RNAcentral.